This 480-nucleotide ribosomal RNA is filed under the name Clavibacter michiganensis. RNAcentral's name for it is "bacterial SSU rRNA". It matches the Rfam family "Bacterial small subunit ribosomal RNA", at positions 14 to 505 of the family's 1533-position model. Lineage: Bacteria; Bacillati; Actinomycetota; Actinomycetes; Micrococcales; Microbacteriaceae. The record is from RNAcentral.
UGAUCCUGGCUCAGGACGAACGCUGGCGGCGUGCUUAACACAUGCAAGUCGAACGGUGAUGUCAGAGCUUGCUCUGGCGGAUCAGUGGCGAACGGGUGAGUAAACACGUGAGUAACCUGCCCCCGACUCUGGGAUAACUGCUAGAAAUGGUAGCUAAUACCGGAUAUGACGACUGGCCGCAUGGUCUGGUCGUGGAAAGAACUUCGGUUGGGGAUGGACUCGCGGCCUAUCAGGUUGUUGGUGAGGUAAUGGCUCACCAAGCCUACGACGGGUAGCCGGCCUGAGAGGGUGACCGGCCACACUGGGACUGAGACACGGCCCAGACUCCUACGGGAGGCAGCAGUGGGGAAUAUUGCACAAUGGGCGCAAGCCUGAUGCAGCAACGCCGCGUGAGGGAUGACGGCCUUMGGGUUGUAAACCUCUUUUAGUAGGGAAGAAGCGAAAGUGACGGUACCUGCAGAAAAAGCNCGNCUAAAAGGG